Molecule: ribosomal RNA, 480 nt
Filed under: uncultured bacterium
Lineage: Bacteria
Description: partial 16S ribosomal RNA
Rfam family: Bacterial small subunit ribosomal RNA
Source: RNAcentral
AUUGAACGCUGGCGGCAUGCCUUACACAUGCAAGUCGAACGGUAACAGGUCUUCGGAUGCUGACGAGUGGCGAACGGGUGAGUAAUACAUCGGAACGUGCCCAGACGUGGGGGAUAACGAGGCGAAAGCUUUGCUAAUACCGCAUACGAUCUAAGGAUGAAAGCAGGGGACCGCAAGGCCUUGCGCGUUUGGAGCGGCCGAUGGCAGAUUAGGUAGUUGGUGGGAUAAAAGCUUACCAAGCCGACGAUCUGUAGCUGGUCUGAGAGGACGACCAGCCACACUGGGACUGAGACACGGCCCAGACUCCUACGGGAGGCAGCAGUGGGGAAUUUUGGACAAUGGGCGAAAGCCUGAUACAGCAAUGCCGCGUGCAGGAUGAAGGCCUUCGGGGUGUAAACUGCUUUUGUACGGAACGAAAAGGCUCUGGCUAAUACCUGGGGCACAUGACGGUACCGUAAGAAUAAGCACCGGCUAACUACG